Molecule: non-coding RNA, 683 nt
Organism: Zootermopsis nevadensis
Lineage: Eukaryota; Metazoa; Arthropoda; Insecta; Blattodea; Termopsidae
Source: RefSeq, a predicted model, not a curated record
GUGAAAUGUCAAAUCGUAAAGAAAGCACUUGGAGAACACAUCUGUCCACUUUCCACCCAAAAAUCAGAACACGGGUAGCCCAUCAAACAGCAACGUAAUUCUCGGGAUGUUGGCAAGACGGUGCCACCAUUCUGCAGCACAGACAACCUUGUCAUUAAAUACGAAGUUGUUAAUGUAACGGAACUCGGCUGAGGAGGAUCCUAGUGACCGACAUCGCUAACAGUUAUCUGAAUGUUCCACUCGGCCUUGUCUUUUACUCCGAAGCCUCUAACCCGACUGAAGUGUGCCGGUUAAAGAGGGGUUUGGUGCUACGAUAUUCUGAUCGGCUCUGGAGCCCACACAGUGUGAUUCACUGAAGACAUUUGUAUACCAAAUGCCAACACGUUCUUACUAUAAAACUUAAAAUGGCAGCUUCGCCUUCUUAUCCAGCUUCCAAGUCUACACUCCAGCUUCACCUACCACACCACAAUAUGUGUUAGUAAUCAAGAAACAGGCAUCUUUAACCCCAGAUGCGUUUAAUAUGAAUGUGCCGGCUGCAAGCAGGCAGCACAAUACAAGAUUCACGUCGUAUACGAUUGCUGUACAGAAAUGGCUUACAUCCCAAGUAAACAGCAGCGGCUGCCACCAGGAGGAAGAGCAGAAAGAAGGCGAGAAUGCAGCAGCCACAGCGGUAGUGGCCCCCG